Molecule: ribosomal RNA, 253 nt
Filed under: uncultured bacterium
Lineage: Bacteria
Description: partial 16S ribosomal RNA
Rfam family: Bacterial small subunit ribosomal RNA
Source: RNAcentral
GACAGAGGGUGCAAACGUUGUUCGGAAUUACUGGGCGUAAAGCGCGUGUAGGCUGCUUCGAAAGUCGGGUGUGAAAGCCCCGGGCUCAACCUGGGAAGUGCACUCGAAACUUCGGAGCUGGAGUUCUGGAGAGGAGACUGGAAUUUACGGUGUAGCAGUGAAAUGCGUAGAGAUCGUAAGGAAGACCAGUGGCGAAGGCGGGUCUCUGGACAGUUCCUGACACUGAGGCACGAAGGCCAGGGGAGCAAACGGG